RNAcentral lists this ribosomal RNA (301 nucleotides) under uncultured bacterium. Its description in RNAcentral is "partial 16S ribosomal RNA". It matches the Rfam family "Bacterial small subunit ribosomal RNA", at positions 509 to 807 of the family's 1533-position model. The record is from RNAcentral.
CAGCCGCCGCGGUAAGACAGAGGAUGCAAGCGUUAUCCGGAAUGAUUGGGCGUAAAGCGUCUGUAGGUGGCUUUUCAAGUCCGCCGUCAAAUCCCAGGGCUCAACCCUGGACAGGCGGUGGAAACUACCAAGAUGGAGUACGGUAGGGGCAGAGGGAAUUUCCGGUGGAGCGGUGAAAUGUGUUGAGAUCGGAAAGAACACCAACGGCGAAAGCACUCUGCUGGGUUGACACUGACACUGAGAGACGAAAGCUAGGGGAGCAAAUGGGAUUAGAUACCCGUGUAGUCCCUGUCUCUUAUAC